GGAGGGUGCAAGCGUUAAUCGGAAUUACUGGGCGUAAAGCGCGCGCAGGGCGGUCGGAUAAGUCGGGUUGUGAAAGCCCUGGGGCUUAACCUGGGAAUUGCAGUCGAUACUGCCCGACUAGAGUAUGGGAGAGGGAAGUGGAAUUUCCGGUGUAGCGGUGAAAUGCGUAGAUAUCGGAAGGAACACCAGUGGCGAAGGCGACUUCCUGGCCCAAUACUGACGCUCAGGUGCGAAAGCGUGGGGAGCAAACAGGAUUAGAUACCCUGGUAGUCCACGCCAUAAACGAUGAGAACUAGAUGUCGGGAGGGUUUUGCCUCUCGGUGUCGCAGCUAACGCGUUAAGUUCUCCGCCUGGGGAGUACGGCCGCAAGGUUG
RNAcentral lists this ribosomal RNA (374 nucleotides) under uncultured organism. Its description in RNAcentral is "partial 16S ribosomal RNA". It matches the Rfam family "Bacterial small subunit ribosomal RNA", at positions 527 to 896 of the family's 1533-position model. The record is from RNAcentral.